This 550-nucleotide ribosomal RNA is filed under the name Copepoda environmental sample. RNAcentral describes it as "partial large subunit ribosomal RNA". It matches the Rfam family "Bacterial large subunit ribosomal RNA", at positions 1832 to 2605 of the family's 2925-position model. The record is from RNAcentral. Lineage: Eukaryota; Metazoa; Arthropoda; Copepoda.
AGCCAUCCACAAUAUUAGAGGCCCGGCCUGCCCAGUGACACAUGUUUAACGGCCGCGGUACCCUAACCGUGCAAAGGUAGCAUAAUCACUUGUUCCUUAUAUAGGGACCUGUAUGAAUGGCUCCACGAGGGUUCAGCUGUCUCUUACUUUUAUCCAGUGAAAUUGACCUGCCCGUGAAGAGGCGGGCAUAACACAGCAAGACGAAAAGACCCUAUGGAGCUUUAAUUUAUUAAUGCAAACAAUACCUAACAAACCCACAGGUCCUAAACUACCAAACCUGCGUUAAAAAUUUCGGUUGGGGCGACCUCGGAGCAAAACCCAACCUCCGAGCAUUACAUGCUAAGACUUCACCAGUCAAAGCGAACUACUAUACUCAAUUGAUCCAAUAACUUGACCAACGGAACAUGUUACCCUAAGGAUAACAGCGCAGUCCUAUUCGAGAGUCCAUAUCAACAAUAGGGUUUACGACCUCGAUGUUGGAUCAGGACAUCCCGAUGGUGCACCCGCUAUUAAAGGUUCGUUUGUUCUCCGAUUAAAGUCCUACGUGAUC